Long non-coding RNA from Etheostoma cragini (Arkansas darter), 470 nucleotides. RefSeq lists it as uncharacterized. NCBI's taxonomy places the organism in Eukaryota, Metazoa, Chordata, Actinopteri, Perciformes, Percidae. The record is from RefSeq and is a predicted model, not a curated record. The transcript is spliced from 2 exons.
UGUAGACUUGCCUAGUUUGUGAAAAGAGAUGGUUUAAUAAACAAAGGCCCAUUCACAUGCUGCCAAUCUCAAAUUUGCCUGCCUGUAACCCGGUCUUCUCCACACACACACACACACAGACACACACAAACAAGCUUCUACAUUUUUUGAAGCAUCUUCAGGAGUGUAUCAUUAAGUAACAUUUUCAGCUGCUUUCAUUUCAUGUAGUUUUUUUUCUUCCUCCUUGCUCUGCGUGUCCAAACAUUAAAAUACGUUUAUGAAAAAAGCUGAAAAUAAUUUCCUAAAAGACAUUGGGGGCGGCCCCAAUGCCUUUGGCCUCUUGAGAACUCAGAAAGAAUCUUAUAAUACUAGAAUGUGGGUGACAGGAGUCUUGGUUCUUGAAUUUAAAAAAUGUACAGAGAAGAUUUUGAAACAAAAAACUGUAAAUAGAAAGUGUAAAUAAAUCCUAUAUAUGACAAAAUUGCUUUGAA